GUUGAACGCUGGCGGCGUGCCUAAUACAUGCAAGUCGAGCGAAUGGACGAGACUUUCUCUUCUCUUCUGCUACCGGCGGACGGGUAAUUCAUACGUAGCUACCUUAUCUUUAAGACUGAGAUCCCUUCAGGAACCCUGAUCUCACAUCCGUCAUUAUUUUGAACGUGAGGGUUCUUCAGACCACGCCGUUCCUGCUGUUCCUAAUUCAUGUUUCCUCGUUGCAUUAGUUAGUUGGUACGGUAACGGCUUACCAAGGCAACGAUGCAUAGCCGACCUGAGAGGGUGAUCGGCCACACUGGAACUGAGACACGGUCCAGACUCCUACGGGAGGCAGCAGUAGGGAAUAUUCCGCAAUGGGCGAAAGCCUGACGGAGCAACGCCGCGUGAGUGAUGAAGGUCUUCGGAUCGUAAAACUCUGUUAGUAGGGAAGAACAGAUGUGUAAGUAACUGUGCACAUCUUGACGGUACCUAAUCAGAAAGCCACGGCUAACUACGUG
This 497-nucleotide ribosomal RNA is filed under the name uncultured bacterium. Its description in RNAcentral is "partial 16S ribosomal RNA". It matches the Rfam family "Bacterial small subunit ribosomal RNA", at positions 28 to 507 of the family's 1533-position model. The record is from RNAcentral.